GGUUAAGCGACUAAGCGUACACGGUGGAUGCCCUGGCAGUCAGAGGCGAUGAAGGACGUGCUAAUCUGCGAAAAGCGUCGGUAAGGUGAUAUGAACCGUUAUAACCGGCGAUGUCCGAAUGGGGAAACCCAGUGUGAUUCGUCACACUAUCGUUAACUGAAUACAUAGGUUAACGAGGCGAACCGGGGGAACUGAAACAUCUAAGUACCCAGAGGAAAAGAAAUCAACCGAGAUUCCCCCAGUAGCGGCGAGCGAACGGGGAGCAGCCCAGAGUCUGAAUCAGCUUGUGUGUUAGUGGAACGGUCUGGAAAGUCCGACGGUACAGGGUGAUAGUCCCGUACACCAAAAUGCACAGGCUGUGAACUCGAAGAGUAGGGCGGGACACGUGGUAUCCUGUCUGAAUAUGGGGGGACCAUCCUCCAAGGCUAAAUACUCCUGACUGACCGAUAGUAAACCAGUACCGUGAGGGAAAGGCGAAAAGAACCCCGG
This 489-nucleotide ribosomal RNA is filed under the name Pseudomonas aeruginosa. RNAcentral describes it as "partial 23S ribosomal RNA". It matches the Rfam family "Bacterial large subunit ribosomal RNA", at positions 1 to 529 of the family's 2925-position model. The record is from RNAcentral. Lineage: Bacteria; Pseudomonadati; Pseudomonadota; Gammaproteobacteria; Pseudomonadales; Pseudomonadaceae.